RNAcentral lists this ribosomal RNA (373 nucleotides) under uncultured organism. RNAcentral's name for it is "bacterial SSU rRNA". It matches the Rfam family "Bacterial small subunit ribosomal RNA", at positions 526 to 896 of the family's 1533-position model. The record is from RNAcentral.
CGUAGGGUGCAAGCGUUGUCCGGAAUUAUUGGGCGUAAAGAGCUCGUAGGCGGUCUGUCACGUCGGCUGUGAAAUCCCGAGGCUCAACCUCGGGCCUGCAGUCGAUACGGGCAAACUAGAGUACUGCAGGGGAGACUGGAAUUCCUGGUGUAGCGGUGAAAUGCGCAGAUAUCAGGAGGAACACCGGUGGCGAAGGCGGGUCUCUGGGCAGUAACUGACGCUGAGGAGCGAAAGCGUGGGGAGCGAACAGGAUUAGAUACCCUGGUAGUCCACGCCGUAAACGUUGGGCGCUAGAUGUGGGGGCCAUUCCACGGUCUCCGUGUCGCAGCUAACGCAUUAAGCGCCCCGCCUGGGGAGUACGGCCGCAAGGCUA